Molecule: long non-coding RNA, 1450 nt
Organism: Daphnia pulex (common water flea)
Lineage: Eukaryota; Metazoa; Arthropoda; Branchiopoda; Diplostraca; Daphniidae
Exons: 7
Source: RefSeq, a predicted model, not a curated record
AUUUACCAAUUACGUACGAUUAAGGCAAGUUUUCUUUUGUAUCAUGUUUUUCGAUUCUGCCCAAUCGUAGGAUCUGUGAUAUCCAUGAGUGUCCAUCCCCCAACACGUGGUUGAAACAAAGCAGUUUUCUAAAUCUUUGAAACAGCCCAGUACUCCCUAGAUAAAGAAUUGAUAGACUCUGAAGAGGAGAUGAUUCAACAACUUAUCAUGUCCAAUUUACUACUGAAGCACCAGAUGCAGAAACACAAAGUAGAAGAAUUUUGUCUCACCGUCGGUGAAGUUGAUGCUAGUUGUCUGCAAGCUUCUUUUGUUUCUUGUUUGAUGUCAAGGAAUGCAGAUUCAUAGCUGGACUUUCAAAUCGUCACUCACACUUGAGAUCGAAAACCAUAUUGAAAAUAAAUCACCCAUCCAUCCCACGAUGCCACAACCCAACCUGCUGCAGCCAGCGACGAAAGAAAAACCGAAACUGUCGUUGGACAGGUCCAAGACGGGCAAUUCACCAACCUCAACAUCAACCAUUGAUGCAGUAGAUUUUGACACCGAAAGGCACAUAAUAUCAUGUGCAGAUCCUGCAAGGUGACUCUCUUACCCUCAUCUAGCUACCAUUCAAAACCUCUUGCGGCUUAGAUGCUGGUUCUUGUCAAUCAACCAGAGGGCAACAACAAACCUGAACAUUAAUUACCUUCGUUGUUCGGACCUUAAUGUUUGGCGCAACUGCAUAUUCCACCGUCUUCCACGGUGGAGGUUGCUACCACCAUCGUCACUCCGAUUUUUAUGGAAAUUGUUACGGCUUCUCCUCUUCUGCUGUCGUUGUUUCGACACUCGCUGUAACUACAACUGCUGGCACUGACAAGCAGAUCCCUUGAGUUAUUGAACCUCCUGGCGCGUCGUUGUCCUACACAAUUAUCAACAUUGGAAUGCCGUGGCCGCUCGAUGAGCUAAGGUUCUUGACUGGAAUGGUGUGGAGUACCAGUGGUGAAGCCGGACAAGAAAACGAGAUUGCUUUGAAAGAUUUUUUUCCAAUGUCAGUUUAAUAAGCUAAAUUUCUAGAAAAUGUUGUUUACUAUGGAAGUAAGUGAAGUAGAAAGGACAAGGGAAAUUCUUCAUGGGAUAAGGGAAAGUUCAUUGACAGAAUAGUAAAAAAUUUGCACAAUGAAAGAAUUUUUUGGUGAAGAUAAACUUUGAGUUAAAAUUUAUUGGGGAUAGAUCAUGUGCACAUGAUACUUUGCAGCUAAAUUCAUUUUGGUAAUGUAAUAUUUACUUUUUGCGUGAAUUUUGACUCUUACCUUAAAUUGAAUAAUUACCUUAAAUUGAAUAAUUGAUGAAACUUAACAAACCUGGGAGGGUGUGACUGUUAGUAUCUUCUUAUUUUUAUUGGUAUAGAUGAAGGGGAAGAAAAAGGCAAAGUGUAAAUACGACAGAAGUUAUUCAAUGUUAUCAGGAUAUCAGU